GCCCUCAGGUUCUCCUUCCCAUCAGAUCUCAACAUUGGUCUUGGUGGUUGCAAAGGAGGGAGAGCACGCUGAAGCUGGCCUCACAGCCUUGUAGCCUGGUAUAAGCAUGUGGGCUGGAUUCAAACAGGG
Small nucleolar RNA from Nannospalax galili (Upper Galilee mountains blind mole rat), 129 nucleotides. The record is from Ensembl. NCBI's taxonomy places the organism in Eukaryota, Metazoa, Chordata, Mammalia, Rodentia, Spalacidae.